CUAAAAUCUUAUAUAAGAGAGGCUGGUCAGAGGGUUUGGUCUUCCUAUUAAAGUGAGAUAGCAGUGCUUUAAAAGUGUAAUGUAGUCUUUUUCUUGCUCAAUUUCUGCAGUGCUGAGCAUGCAGAAAAGAGAAUGCGUUCUUCUGAGGAGCCUGGGAAGUGCUUUUAAGUGUCUUUCUAACGUAUCUGGAAAAGCCUGAAAACAUUUUAUUUACCAAGGACUAAAACUGCUUCUGAGCCUACAAGUGGUAUAUGCUUAUUCUGAACACGAGGCAUGAGCUCUUGGUCAGACUUCUAGAUCUGAGGUGCACUCCAGCAGUUACAAGUCCAGCAUCCCAAACUGCCCUGAAGUAGGUGCUUUGCCUCUUCUCACUCAGCAUCAGUUGCUUGCGUCUUGUGGAAGAUGCUGCCUGGGGCCCAGCAGAGCUGGAGGUAGUGGAAGCUUAACGCAGAGGGCCAUGGGGUUUGUGCCCUCUUUCACCAGUGGCUUAUUUUACAUACAGUACAUCAUUGUACCACUGACCUUCUCUGUUCUGCCUUGCUCUGAUGACAUCACAAGAAUGGCAAGAUUAUCAGUAAAGAUGGAAAUAGGUGCUUAUCAUUGUACAAAUAAGGAGAGGACUGGCAGCUACUGGAACGUGAUGAGCAACUGAGUCUGCUUUAGUACACGUGAAGAGACUGCAUCCCAACCAGUGAAAACUGGCGAUCAGAAUUCAGCAACAAAAGGCUGCUUGCCCAAGAGCUGCUCCUUGUAUGGAAGUAUCUAUAUGAAAAUGUCUAAUUACAAUCUAUUAAAACAUGGAGUUAAAACUACUACGUAGCCAAUAUUUAGCAACUUUGGUAGAUAAACAGUAUGUUUGGAACAACUAGCUCCUGUUUUAAAUGUAGAGCUCAUUAAUAUUUUCGAGGUUAUACUUCAGUAAUGACUUCCACAUAACAACCUCUCCACUUACUUUAAUUAUUUUAUUCAGUUUUACGUUUAUAGUAAGCUCUGACAUGCUCUAAUUGUAUUUCACAAUGGUUUUAAACUUCUAAUAAGCACAUAGAGCUUUUAUGCUAUCGUUUGAAGUACACUGGUAUUCCUGAGACCUAUAGUGAGUCACAAGUAAUACUAUUAGGCCUGUAGCAAAGCUUAUUUAGUCGAUAUAUACAUAUUUAAAGUUAAAUGUGUUCUUAGUACUAUACCGCCUUGGGAUUUUGGGUGAAUAACUAUGCUGAUUUACUAGGACAGAGCUACAGAUUGACUAAAAUAGUUGAAUGGAUGUCAGCUAGGUUAUAGGUAUGAAAGAUCACGUAGAAAUGAAUGCUUGUGUAAUCACAUUGGCUAUUAUAGAACUGAAAAUGAUAUUUUGGGUUGUUUCUCAUAUAACUAAAUUGGACACUUUUCUGUUUGCAAAGUUGUUUUCUGUCCAUUAUCAGAAGUUUCUGGUAACUAUGCAAUAGACUGGGUAGAGAUUAGAAUACACUGGGUUAUUCCAGGACCAGUCAGUUGUAGCAGUCAAGUUGUGAUGACUGUAGGUGAAAAAGUAGGUUUUGCUUUUCUUAAUAAUGACAUCGUAAUGUUGUUGGGUUUUUUUUCUGGUGGUUUUACACCUGCUGAGAAUGAUGGAUUUUUGCCAUUCAUGGACAGACUCAGGCUGAUGGAUGGAGCACAGGCACAAUCAUGCGCACAGUAAAAAACUUUGCCUUGGGAAGUCACAGAGUAAUAAUAAGAUCAGCCACUGAUCAUGACUGUGUAGAAAGAUUUCGGAAAUGUCCAAUUUGCACUCCUAAAGUACUGGUGGCAUCUGCGAGCAGCCAUCCUCGAGGGGACACUUCAUGUCUGUAAUUGCAUUUUGUCACCUACAGAGGGUGUUAAGAAUCUUGUUAAAAAUAAAGGAAAUAG
Molecule: long non-coding RNA, 1884 nt
Organism: Numida meleagris (helmeted guineafowl)
Lineage: Eukaryota; Metazoa; Chordata; Aves; Galliformes; Numididae
Exons: 6
Source: RefSeq, a predicted model, not a curated record